This 385-nucleotide long non-coding RNA is filed under the name Capra hircus (goat). RNAcentral's name for it is "lncRNA (ENSCHIG00010004487.1)". The record is from RNAcentral. Lineage: Eukaryota; Metazoa; Chordata; Mammalia; Artiodactyla; Bovidae.
UUAAAGGAGACUUUCUACCUGCAAUUUGUUUUUGAAUCAAUCGGAUGAGACCAUUGAGGAGCCCCCAGAUAAUAUGAAUUCCCAUGAUCCGUUCCAUUUCGGAUUUUUUUUUUUAAUUACUUGCAUCGCUGGAUUUUGUUCCCGUAACUCUAGAAUGCAAGAAAAACCUGCCGUGUCACCCGACAAGAUUGCUCUUAACGUUUCCAGGAGCGGUUCGUGGCCGUGCCCUCCAGCCUCCUUGGGACAGACGUGUGAGGAUGACCGUCGAUUUGGUACAAUUCCAUGUGCUGUUUGGGCGCGUUCGUCUUUCAGGCGAACUCUUCAGUUUCAGUCGGUGAAUGGAAAAGAAACUUGCUUUGCCGCUGUUGCUCUUCCUGGUUUUUGA